UGAUAACGAAAACAGUUUUUUUAAAAGGCGAGCAAUAUCAAACUAGCCGUGCUCUUCUCCUGCUCCAUCUCUCUUAGAAUCCAGAGUCUCCAGAGUCCCAGACCAUCCACUCCUGUCAACCUUUGCGACUCCGACUCCGUACUCGCUCUUCUCACUGCCGUCUCGACCACCACGACGGCACCAGCUGUCUCUCCUCUUGGACACAUCCCAGAGAACCUAGGUCCCAGAACCACGACGACACCACCCAUCUCUUCUCCCCGACGACAUCGGUGCCAUCGAGAACACUGCCAGCGGCCGAUGAGAUGAGGUUCUUCAAUUUCGAUAUAUUAUUACGGCCAAUGAGGCCAAUCGAUUCUUCAAUUUCGUCUAGAAGAAUUGUUCAGUUGUGAGCUGAGCUGCUGACGAUCAUCAAAAAUCACCAGCUUUUUGCAGCAACCGACAUUUUAUUUCUCUUUGCAGCAGUGAGAGCUCAUACGUAAUGGAGGACCUCAAAGAGAAGCUGCUUCCACCAAAAGUCCCAAAACCUGCAUCAGCUGUAAACCUUCGCGAAGCAUCGUAUCGAUCAUCGGCCUUUGGAAGGUAACCUUUUCAAGGAGUAGUUCUUCUGGGGCUGAAGAAUAUAUAAGAAUUCAUGUCUCUGUUGCUGCAGUGCUGCUGUGCAAUGCAGUUUAUAAAUUACCCAAAAAAAUAAAAAGAGUUGGACCCGCUCCAAAUUGGUCUAUUUGAAACUGGCCGGAUUAGAUCCGGUUCCAAAACUCAAAAUCCUUCUACCCGACCCAUCCCGUUCCGUUUAAAACAGGUAAGGUUUGGUCCCUUCGAAAUUAAGCCCGGCCCAGCCCGUGUCCACUCCUAAAUGAAAUGAUUAUUAUUUUUUCUUUCUUUAAAUAUAGCAAAGAAAAUCAAACCCUCACCUUAUUUUAUCAACAUUGGCUGCAAAUCACACAUUAACCAAAUCCUAAUAAAAUUAAUAUCAAUUAAUAUAGACCAUUUUCAUCGAUACAUUUACAACAGGCAAACACCUUCAAAACAAAUGGGUUAGCUACAAUUAGAUAUCAAAUUUAUCACAAAUAUAUAUCGUUCUCAUAUACGUUGAACCUGUGACAUCGUUUCAUCAGAUGAAGUCUGAAGACAACUAUCCUAUUAAACCAAAGGCUGGUUGAUUAAUUGUGUUAGACUUAAUCAAUUAUUUAAAAUAAACCCUGAGUUGUUGUUUGACUUAACUAUUCAUGACACCGUGAUGAAGUUCAUCAAAACUAUUUUAUACAUUAGCGUCAAAAGCAUAAAAAUACAAUCUGACUUCCUCACGUAUAGGUCCUGUUUCCUUAUUGUACAGAUUCUAGAUAUAUUAUUAGGAGUAGGAUACUCUCCAGAUCCUCUUUGUGUGGAUCUGAGAGAUUAAUCAAUCGUGUCCGUUCAUCGUACAUCAUGCGGAUAGAAAUUAUUUAAAAUUUAAAAUUGAAUAUAAAUAGUACUUAACGAAAACUGACCGCACAAUGUACGAUGAACGAACACGAUUGAUUGAUCAUCUGGAUCCCCACAAAGAGGAUCCUUGUCCAUAUUAUUAAGCCUCAAUACCGACGGCUGGAAAAAGUGCAAAUUAGACUAUCUCUAAAUCAGAUGUCAAAUUUUAAAUGAAGGGAAUUGUUAUUGACACUCCAAAUUUCUCAUUCUACACCCCAAACUUUCUAUAUUUAGAAAGAAAAAUACAGUGUAGAAUGAGAUUUUAGGAGUGCAAAUAACACUUCCCUAAAUGAAAUGUCAUUCAAUCAAAUUUGAGAUUGAGAUAUAAAAUUUAUGUUGCCAAAUUUGACAUAUGAGAAAAGAUGCUGUCAAUUUUUUUUAAUUAUUUAUUUUAAUGAUUUCUUUUUGAAAGUGGGUUUUACAAAUAUCAUUUAUAACAAAAAACCAUAUGGGUUGGAGAAGAAGAAAAUCUACAUUGUCACGUCAACCAUCUAAUUAAUAUUUGAUAUUUAUCUUUUAACACUUUCUAUUGAAGAUGCUCUUAUAUGGUUAAGGUAGAUUAUGUCAAUGCGCGUGUGGCUUCGACUCUGGAGGGUACCAACUACUAGGUGGAGGUUGCUACAUAUAAGUACUUUGUCAAUGGAAGAAAAUAAGAUUUGCUUGUAACGUUAUACAACAUUUACCAAUAUUUAAAGGUUUGAGAGUGUUAAUUUUUUAUUAGGAGUAAAAUAUUAAUUUUGUAAGAUCGUAUAAGGAAGCAAGUUAUUCUUCUAUGGUCAAUUAGUUUUAGGGUCAAUCUUUAAUUUCUUUCAUAAUAUUAGAGUCAAGUUAAUCCACACAUCAAUUAGUUUUAGGGUCAAUCUUUAAUUUCUUUCAUAAUUUUAGAGUCAAGUUAAUCCACACAGUAAGCAUAAUAGCUUACGUACUCACAUAUCACCCACUACGUGUUGUUCAUAUGUUAUACGUAAAUAAUGUCAUAGGU
Molecule: long non-coding RNA, 2443 nt
Organism: Pyrus x bretschneideri (Chinese white pear)
Lineage: Eukaryota; Viridiplantae; Streptophyta; Magnoliopsida; Rosales; Rosaceae
Exons: 3
Source: RefSeq, a predicted model, not a curated record